GCUCCCUUCGGCAGCACAGACACUAAAACUGGAUCACUACAGAGAUUAGCAUGAUCUCUGCAGAAGGAGUUCAUCCAAAUUCAUGAGGUGUUUUAUAUUUUA
Small nuclear RNA from Rattus norvegicus (Norway rat), 102 nucleotides. NCBI's taxonomy places the organism in Eukaryota, Metazoa, Chordata, Mammalia, Rodentia, Muridae. The record is from Ensembl.